This 527-nucleotide ribosomal RNA is filed under the name uncultured bacterium. RNAcentral's name for it is "bacterial SSU rRNA". It matches the Rfam family "Bacterial small subunit ribosomal RNA", at positions 777 to 1304 of the family's 1533-position model. The record is from RNAcentral.
AAUAGAUACCCUGGUAGUCCUGGCCUUAAACGAUGAUCACUAGGUGUAGGAGGCUUCGACCCCUUCUGCGCCGCCGCUAACGCAUUAAGUGAUCCGCCUGGGGAGUACGGCCGCAAGGUUAAAACUCAAAGGAAUUGACGGGGGCCCGCACAAGCAGUGGAGCAUGUGGUUUAAUUCGAUGCUACGCGAAAAACCUUACCAGGGUUUGACAUCCCGGUGUAACCCCAUAGAAAUAUGGGGCCCCUUCGGGCGCCGGUGACAGGUGGUGCAUGGUUGUCGUCAGCUCGUGCCGUGAGGUGUUGGAUUAAGUCCCGCAACGAGCGCAACCCUCGUCUUUAGUUGCCAGCAUUAAGUUGGGCACUCUAGAGAGACUGCCGGUGACAAACCGGAGGAAGGUGGGGAUGACGUCAAGUCAGCAUGCCCCUUACGUCCUGGGCUACACACGUACUACAAUGCUGCGGACAAAGGGCAGCAAGCCAGCGAUGGCAGGCCAAUCCCAUAAACCGUGGCUCAGUUCAGAUCGCAGG